AUUGAACGCUGGCGGCAGGCCUGACACAUGCCAGUCGAGCGGAUGAAGGGAGCUUGCUCCUGGAUUCAGCGGCGGACGGGUGAGUAAUGCCUAGGAAUCUGCCUGGUAGUGGGGGAUAACGUCCGGAAACGGGCGCUAAUACCGCAUACGUCCUGAGGGAGAAAGUGGGGGAUCUUCGGCCCUCACGCUAUCAGAAGGGCCUAGGUCGGAUUAGCUAGUUGGUGGGGUAAAGGCCUACCAAGGCGACGAUCCGUAACUGGUCUGAGAGGAGGAUCAGUCACACUGGAACUGAGACACGGUCCAGACUCCUACGGGAGGCAGCAGUGGGGAAUAUUGGACAAUGGGCGAAAGCCUGAUCCAGCCAUGCCGCGUGUGUGAAGAAGGUCUUCGGAUUGUAAAGCACUUUAAGUUGGGAGGAAGGGCAGUAAGUUAAUACCUUGCUGUUUUGACGUUACCAACAGAAUAAGCACCGGCUAACUUCGUG
This 484-nucleotide ribosomal RNA is filed under the name uncultured bacterium. RNAcentral's name for it is "partial 16S ribosomal RNA". It matches the Rfam family "Bacterial small subunit ribosomal RNA", at positions 30 to 507 of the family's 1533-position model. The record is from RNAcentral.